Molecule: ribosomal RNA, 490 nt
Filed under: uncultured bacterium
Lineage: Bacteria
Description: partial 16S ribosomal RNA
Rfam family: Bacterial small subunit ribosomal RNA
Source: RNAcentral
AUUGAACGCUGGCGGCAGGCCUAACACAUGCAAGUCGAACGGUAACAGGAAGCAGCUUGCUGCUUUGCUGACGAAUGGCGGACGGGUGAGUAAUGUCUGGGAAACUGCCCGAUGGAGGGGGAUAACUACUGGAAACGGUAGCUAAUACCGCAUAACGUCGCAAGCCCAAAGAGGGGGACCUUAGGGCCUCUUGCCAUCGGAUGUGCCCAGAUGGGAUUAGCUAGUAGGUGGGGUAACGGCUCACCUAGGCGACGAUCCCUAGCUGGUCUGAGAGGAUGACCAGCCACACUGGAACUGAGACACGGUCCAGACUCCUACGGGAGGCAGCAGUGGGGAAUAUUGCACAAUGGGCGCAAGCCUGAUGCAGCCAUGCCGCGUGUAUGAAGAAGGCCUUCGGGUUGUAAAGUACUUUCAGCGGGGAGGAAGGGAGUAAAGUUAAUACCUUUGCUCAUUGACGUUACCCGCAGAAGAAGCACCGGCUAACUCCGUG